Molecule: transfer RNA, 68 nt
Filed under: Argusianus argus (great argus)
Lineage: Eukaryota; Metazoa; Chordata; Aves; Galliformes; Phasianidae
Description: tRNA-Phe
Rfam family: tRNA
About the family: Transfer RNA (tRNA) molecules are approximately 80 nucleotides in length. Their secondary structure includes four short double-helical elements and three loops (D, anti-codon, and T loops). Further hydrogen bonds mediate the characteristic L-shaped molecular structure. tRNAs have two regions of fundamental functional importance: the anti-codon, which is responsible for specific mRNA codon recognition, and the 3' end, to which the tRNAs corresponding amino acid is attached (by aminoacyl-tRNA synthetases). tRNAs cope with the degeneracy of the genetic code in two manners: having more than one tRNA (with a specific anti-codon) for a particular amino acid; and 'wobble' base-pairing, i.e. permitting non-standard base-pairing at the 3rd anti-codon position.
Source: RNAcentral
GCCCCCAUAGCUUAACCCCAAAGCAUGGCACUGAAGAUGCCAAGACGGUACCAAUAUUACCUGCGGGC